Meleagris gallopavo (turkey) is the source of this 1357-nucleotide non-coding RNA. The record is from RefSeq and is a predicted model, not a curated record. NCBI's taxonomy places the organism in Eukaryota, Metazoa, Chordata, Aves, Galliformes, Phasianidae.
CCCUCUGCCACCGCCCGCCGAAGCGGAGCCGUGCCUCCCGCCUUGUUCCGUACUGCUGCCUCACGGCCCCUUCCGCGGCGGCGCUCGGGAGCCGCAGCUCACAACAGCUGAAACAUCCUGACAUCCAAGAAUUUUCAUCAAGAGGAGUGAGGUAAUGAGCUUCUAUGCUAGAGAUGCUCACUGCCUCACAGGAUUGAGAACCUGAGAGAAAAGGAAUGCACAAGAUGACAGCACUACCUCAGUUGUGUUGAUUUUCAGGUAUGGUGAGAAAUUAUUUCCUUGAGAUAAUACUUAAAAUUUAACAGUGGUUAAACUACAGUCCUUUAGUAUUCCUUGCUCCUUGGACUGUGUUGUACGUGAAGAAAUUCUUCAAAGUUGCAUCCUGAGUUUUCAGUCCUGUAUUUAGAGACUUUGUUAGUAAAAGGCUGAAAUGCAAGUGAAAGUUUCACUGUUUUAAACAAAUCUACAAAUAAGGUCUGGAUAGAACUCCAUGGGAUCUGCCUCCAAAACUUCAGGAAAAUAGGUCUUACUCUUCCAAUUAUCCAUUCAGAAAGUACCCAGCAGUGUGGAUUUUAUGUAGAGAGACUAUUGUUAUUUGCCUGUUUUUGUUUUUGUUUGUUUUUUAGUUUUUAAUCCUUAUCAUGUCAUAGAGCUUGUUCAAGUACAGAGCAAAGCAGAAACUGAAAGGUUUUACUAAUUUUUGAAAGAAAAUGAAAGCUGCUGUAAAUAAGUGCAGUCCUUCAAGUCAUUUGCCAGCUAAGCAUGUACAAAGCAUGACACUGUACAAUUCUCUCUGGUAGCAUGACUGUUAUGAUUUUGAGUGCAAAUCAAAUGGAAAUUCGAGCAUGAAAUGAUGGAUUGUUACUGAACUGAGACAUGAGGGUGUGGCAUGAUGGUGAGGGAGUUUUGAGUUGAGUUUCAUCUGAGCUUCGUUAUAUGAAGUUUUUCUUGUAACCCAUCCAACGGAUCAGGGUCAGAGAGGCUGGAAUCAGAAGAUAAGAAUGUAGACCUUACCAACAUCUCUGUUUUGGUAAACACAGCAAAAAUCACACGGUUUGGGAAGCUGUGAAUUAGCAGAUGUGGGAAAAGCAGUACAACAUCUCAGCUGAAGUGAAAAUGAUCAUUGAUUUGCAAUCCCAUCUCCUCCAUUUGCUUGAUGAUGUAUCCUGAUGAAAACAAUGCAUGGGAAACUUGACACAGAGGAACUUGCAAGCCUGCAGUAUUUCCUGCCCCCUGCUUGUUGGCUUGUAUUUUUCUUGUGCGCAAAAGAUGAUUUUGAUGAGUAACUCUAGAUAUAUCAGCACUAUCUGUAUGAGAAAAGGUUUGGGGCAAGUCAGCUAUUAAAUAGGUGUAAAAA